ACCUGGGUGGCUCAGUCGGUUAAGCGUCUGACUUUGGCUCAGGUCAUGAUCUCACAUUUCGUGGGUUCAAUCUCCACAUCAGGCU
Transfer RNA from Felis catus (domestic cat), 85 nucleotides. It matches the Rfam family "tRNA". From Rfam's summary of the family: Transfer RNA (tRNA) molecules are approximately 80 nucleotides in length. Their secondary structure includes four short double-helical elements and three loops (D, anti-codon, and T loops). The record is from Rfam. NCBI's taxonomy places the organism in Eukaryota, Metazoa, Chordata, Mammalia, Carnivora, Felidae.